GACGAACGCUGGCGGCGUGGAUUAGGCAUGCAAGUCGAACGGUAUCAUCCUUUCGGGGGUGAGAGAGUGGCGAACUGGUGAGUAACACGUAGGUUAUCUACCCUCAAGACGGGGACAACCCAGGGAAACUUGGGCUAAUACCGGAUGUGAGCAACUUUUAGUUUGUUUGAAAGGUGGCGUAAGCUGUCGCUUGGGGAUGAGCCUGCGUCCUAUUAGUUAGUUGGUGAGGUAACGGCUCACCUAGGCAAUGAUAGGUAGGCGGCCUUAACGGGUGGUCGCCCACACUGGGAUUGAGAUACGGCCCAGACUCCUACGGGAGGCAGCAGUCGAGAAUAGUCUACAAUGGUCGGAAGACUGAUAGUGCGACGCCGCGUGAACGAUGAAUCCCUUCGGGGUGUAAAGUUCUUUUAUAUGUGAGCAGUGCUUCUUAUAUUAACAGUAUGGGGAGAGAGAUAUUAGCAUAUGAAUAAGCAACGGCUAACUCCGUGCCAGCAGCCGCGGU
Molecule: ribosomal RNA, 502 nt
Filed under: uncultured bacterium
Lineage: Bacteria
Description: bacterial SSU rRNA
Rfam family: Bacterial small subunit ribosomal RNA
Source: RNAcentral